Molecule: long non-coding RNA, 1278 nt
Filed under: Vulpes vulpes (red fox)
Lineage: Eukaryota; Metazoa; Chordata; Mammalia; Carnivora; Canidae
Description: lncRNA (ENSVVUG00000013316.1)
Source: RNAcentral
AUGCUCCCCUCUUCCACUUCCGCUCGCGCGCUCCGGCCCGGUCUCUGGGUUCCCCUCACACUCGCUGUCCAGACCCCUCUCGGGGAGGGGAGGCCUCCCCGUCAGACCUGCUGUCCCGAGCCCUCUCGGGAUCCUCUCUCUCAGGACCCCCUGUCCCAAGUGCUCUCUGCGACUCCUAAGCCCUCCGUCCUGGCUCCUCUUGGCGUCCCCCUAUCAGAUCCGCUGUCCCGGCCCCUCUGGGGUCCCCUCCCUUCAGACCCCCUGCCCCAACCCUCUGGGGUCCCCUCCCUCAGACACCCCUGCCCCAACCUUCUGCGGUCCCCUUGCUUCAGACCCCUUGUCCCAGCUCUCUGGGGUCCCCUCUCUUCAGACCCCUUGUCCCAGCUCUCUGGGGUCCCCUCUCUUCAGACCCCCUGUCUCAGCCCUCUGGGGUCCCCUCUCCUCAGAGCGCUGUCCCGAGCCCUCUGGGGUCCCCUCCCUUCAGAGCCCCUGCCCCAACCCUCUGGGGUCCCCUCCCUUCAGACCCCCUGCCCCAACCCUCUGGGGUCCCCCCUCCUCAGAGCGCGUCCCGAGCCCUCUCGGGGUCCCCUCCCUUCAGACCCCCUGCCCCAACCCUCUGGGGUCCCCUCUCCUCAGAGCACUGUCCCAACCCUCUGGGGUCCCCUCCCUUCAGACCCCCUGCCCCAACCCUCUGGGGUCCCCCCUCCUCAGAGCGUCCCGAGCCCUCUCGCGUUUCCCGCUCAGACCCGCUACCUCAGCAGCUCUCGGGGUCUCCUCUCCCCAGUCCGGACAAACCCUCUCCCGAACUCCCGCCACUCGAGUCCUCCCGGACCUCACUCCGCCCAGGGUCCCCUUGCCUCGGCUCACUCUGUCACCGUCCCGCGCCCCAGUGCUCUCACCUCAGACCUGCUGUCACCACCCCCGGGCCCGGCGUCGCCGCCGCCUCCGCCGCUUCCUCUCCCACACUUGUUCCCGAGUCGCUCUUCUGCCGCUGGUCCCCCGGAGGAUGCCCGGGUCGGGUCGUUGAGUGCCGGGUCCGGCCACGCAGAGCCUCCGCCCGCGGUCUCGGGGUCGGGUCCCACUCUUUCAGGCAGGACCCCGCCGCCGUCGCCGCCGGGCGCCACACGGACCCUCCCGCAGCCGCCGCUGCUGCUGUCCGAGGUGCGGCUCCUGCCAGGGGUGGCCAAUCGCACCCGACUGCGCCGAGCGCGCUCCGCCCCACGGUCUCAGUUCGCCCGCCCCCUGCCCCCGACCACGCCCCCAGCUCGGCUCCAAUAG